Notothenia coriiceps (black rockcod) is the source of this 650-nucleotide long non-coding RNA. RefSeq lists it as uncharacterized. The record is from RefSeq and is a predicted model, not a curated record. NCBI's taxonomy places the organism in Eukaryota, Metazoa, Chordata, Actinopteri, Perciformes, Nototheniidae. The transcript is spliced from 3 exons.
CUGUGUGCUCUGCAUGUGUGACCAUUACAGAGGUUUUCAUCCUCUGGUUUUCUUCUAUUUUAUUCAGACUAAGGGACUGCAGGUUGUCAGAGAUCAGCUGUGCUUCUCUGGCCUCAGCUUUGAAGUCCAAACACUCCCAUCUGAGAAAGCUGGACCUGAAAUACAAUAAGCUGCAGGAUUCAGGAGUGAAGCUGCUGAGUGAUCUUCUGGAGAGUCCAGACUGUAGACUGGAGACUCUCAGGAUAAAUGACGAGUGGAUUACUGCUCAGAAACAGAGGAUCUGACCGAGAUUGGAAAAUUGCCCGACUAGUGUGCAACCUGACUCAGUUCUCCCACACUGCUCCCUUCAGUUGCUAAUGCCCAUAUUGGUGUCAAGAGACUGGUACUGGCCUAUCAUAACAGGAGACAAAUCUACACAUUUUCCGUUGCUGACUGCAUACCCACCUGUGUAGCUUGUACCUUGACCCAACACACUGAAUGAAGGAAUUAUAGCACUUUAAGAGCCCAUUUAGAAAAAUACUAGCUAAAUGAAAUUGAAUGCAUAACAGGUUUUAAUUUAUGUGAAGGUUUUUCAGUUACAUUACAUGUUAGACACUUUUAUCCAAAGCGACUUACAUACUCAAUACUGUGGGCAAUCCCCACAGGAGACA